This 827-nucleotide ribosomal RNA is filed under the name Paenarthrobacter nitroguajacolicus. RNAcentral describes it as "bacterial SSU rRNA". It matches the Rfam family "Bacterial small subunit ribosomal RNA", at positions 611 to 1435 of the family's 1533-position model. Lineage: Bacteria; Bacillati; Actinomycetota; Actinomycetes; Micrococcales; Micrococcaceae. The record is from RNAcentral.
AACUCCGGUUCUGCAGUGGGUACGGGCAGACUAGAGUGCAGUAGGGGAGACUGGAAUUCCUGGUGUAGCGGUGAAAUGCGCAGAUAUCAGGAGGAACACCGAUGGCGAAGGCAGGUCUCUGGGCUGUAACUGACGCUGAGGAGCGAAAGCAUGGGGAGCGAACAGGAUUAGAUACCCUGGUAGUCCAUGCCGUAAACGUUGGGCACUAGGUGUGGGGGACAUUCCACGUUUUCCGCGCCGUAGCUAACGCAUUAAGUGCCCCGCCUGGGGAGUACGGCCGCAAGGCUAAAACUCAAAGGAAUUGACGGGGGCCCGCACAAGCGGCGGAGCAUGCGGAUUAAUUCGAUGCAACGCGAAGAACCUUACCAAGGCUUGACAUGAACCGGAAAGACCUGGAAACAGGUGCCCCGCUUGCGGUCGGUUUACAGGUGGUGCAUGGUUGUCGUCAGCUCGUGUCGUGAGAUGUUGGGUUAAGUCCCGCAACGAGCGCAACCCUCGUUCUAUGUUGCCAGCGCGUUAUGGCGGGGACUCAUAGGAGACUGCCGGGGUCAACUCGGAGGAAGGUGGGGACGACGUCAAAUCAUCAUGCCCCUUAUGUCUUGGGCUUCACGCAUGCUACAAUGGCCGGUACAAAGGGUUGCGAUACUGUGAGGUGGAGCUAAUCCCAAAAAGCCGGUCUCAGUUCGGAUUGGGGUCUGCAACUCGACCCCAUGAAGUCGGAGUCGCUAGUAAUCGCAGAUCAGCAACGCUGCGGUGAAUACGUUCCCGGGCCUUGUACACACCGCCCGUCAAGUCACGAAAGUUGGUAACACCCGAAGCCGGUGGCC